UAGCGAGGGGGAAUUUGGCUUUUUCUGGGAAUUUUGUUUUUUUUUCCUUCAGAAAUUCCCUGUCCCGAGAGAUUCCCAGGAGCCAAUGGGCAGUGGAGGAGCUCAGGGAAGCCUCGGGGGAGCAAAGGGUCCUACCUGGAAUCCCGAAAAAAUUCCAGCGGGAAUUCCAACAAUUUUGUGGGAAAAUCCAACCUGCACAGCCACAGCUCCUCCUUUCCCAUCAAACCAGCCCCAAGCCCCUCCUGGAGCCGCCGCAGCCCCAAAAAGACCCCGAGGCGCUUCCUGAGCACCGCUGAGGAGACUGUGCGGGAAGAGGAGCGGGAGAUUUACCGGCAGCUGCUCCAGAUGGUGACGGGGAAACGAUUCUCAGGCUCCAAAUCGUCCCCGCUCUUCCCAUUCCACCUCUCCAGGUGCCCCGAUUCCGGCCAAUCCCUGCUGAAGGAGGCUUCCCGUGAGGAUUCCCGGGCACUGGAAACUCCCAAAAUUCCGGUUUCCGGCCCCAUCCCGCAGUCCCUGGAGCUGCUCCGUCCCAAAAAGGCCCCCCUGGGCCCCUCUGUCCCAGGGUAUCCCGGGGGCUUCCAGCCCCAAAAUUCCAUGGCACCGCAGCAACGGGAGCAGCAGGAGGAGUCUGGUGGCCAGGCUGAAGGUAAAGAUGCCGAAAUCCCAGAAAAAUACCCCAAAACACUCCAAAAUUUUUUUUAAAAAACUAAAU
This 712-nucleotide long non-coding RNA is filed under the name Malurus cyaneus samueli. RNAcentral's name for it is "lncRNA (ENSMCSG00000012778.1)". The record is from RNAcentral. Lineage: Eukaryota; Metazoa; Chordata; Aves; Passeriformes; Maluridae.